CAUUUCGACGUUCUCGUGUAACCGUGUACGCCUAAGUCGCAAAUGUAAACAAACACUUUGGUGGGUCCGGUGGUGCUGGUGUGUCUAGGACGCAAAGCAAAGCCGACCGCGGCAGCAGCCAGGACUCGGACGCGGAAACCUUCGUGAGCCAAACAGCAGCAGCGGAACGCCUUCGAAGGAGGGUGGUGCAGGAGCGGGACAAGGCCAGCAUCCUGCAGGAACUGCAGCUGUUCCACGGCCGGAAUGCGAUGAGAGGUAGGAAUGUGGAUUCGCACCGGUUGUAUUCGGUGGUGGUGGCCCGGGAUUGGUGAUUGAAGGUCAAUUCCCGCGAGGACUGGGGCGAGAUCAUCGAGGAGAUGGCGUUGCCGAAGUGUUGCGUGAACAACGAGAUUGCGUUGAAGAAGAUUAACUUCCGGUUUUUUGGACAAGUACGAGAAAGUUUACUUUCACGGUGAGGAGAAGGAUCCGACGAAGAGGAGGACGACGAAAAGCUACAUAAUCGGAGGUGGUCAGCGCAGAUGUUGCACUCGGUGCCGGCGGUUUACAACACCGCAUCUUCCCGCCCACAAACACUCACCUCGCGACGGCGCAGCUUCAGCCGAAUGAACCUGGACAGUGAGCCAAAAAAAAAUCUGUGUCAUUCCCGAAGUAGGAUUACGUGCUCAAAAUUGAAUUCCGUUCCGAGGGCCUCAUCAACUCCAUGUUCCGGAUGCGCUUCAAGGAUCGGGAACUCCCCGUUGAGGCACUUUACUUUCCAGUCGGAAAACGUCGACCACCCUUCCCGAAUCAACGGCCAGCUCCUCCAAGACUAUCCUGAUUGAGGCCGGAAACGUGACCAUCGUGUUACACUGCUGUCGCGCGUCGAAACCUUCAUCCGGAACCGUCCUGGGGUAUUCGGAAGUGACCGGUGGCGUACCGUAUGAAUCGGUACAGCUUGGACUCGAAUAUUGGCCUACCUUGAGCUGAAGCUAGUGGAGAAGCGUUAAAUACAAUAAAAAAUGUGUUUUUAAAC
Molecule: long non-coding RNA, 1012 nt
Organism: Culex pipiens pallens (northern house mosquito)
Lineage: Eukaryota; Metazoa; Arthropoda; Insecta; Diptera; Culicidae
Exons: 3
Source: RefSeq, a predicted model, not a curated record